Cicer arietinum (chickpea) is the source of this 383-nucleotide non-coding RNA. The record is from RefSeq and is a predicted model, not a curated record. Lineage: Eukaryota; Viridiplantae; Streptophyta; Magnoliopsida; Fabales; Fabaceae.
CCAAAUAGCUCAACCUUUGAGAUCACCAUCCCUCAUAUGUAUUUGAUCCAUGUGUAUGGGGAGAACAACAGCAACCUGAAUCAAAUUCAACAGAUCUCUGGUGCAAACGUGGUUGUUCAUGAUCCAAAACCUGGUGCUACAGAAGGGCUGGUGAUUGUAUCUGGAACACAAGAGCAAACUCACUCUGCUCAGUGCCUAAUUCAAGGUUUUAUUCUAUGUGGAAUAACUACACCUUGAGUCUGCAGUUUUAGUGUCUAAACAAAAGGUCUUGUUGUAAUUGUUGUGUACUAUAUGAGAAGUUGAAGAUAUUUGUAUUUUGACAUUGUAUGAAUUGAACUUCUAGUUAACAUGUAUCACAAUGGUUGCCAUGUUUUUGUUUAUGA